ACCUACGGGGGGCAGCAGUAGGGAAUCUUCCACAAUGGACGAAAGUCUGAUGGAGCAACGCCGCGUGAGUGAAGAAGGGUUUCGGCUCGUAAAGCUCUGUUGGUAGUGAAGAAAGAUAGAGGUAGUAACUGGCCUUUAUUUGACGGUAAUUACUUAGAAAGUCACGGCUAACUACGUGCCAGCAGCCGCGGUAAUAAGUAGGUGGCCAGCGUUAUCCGGAGUCACUGUGCGUAAAGGGAGCGCAGGCGGCACGGCCAGUCUGGUGUGAAA
RNAcentral lists this ribosomal RNA (270 nucleotides) under uncultured bacterium. RNAcentral's name for it is "partial 16S ribosomal RNA". It matches the Rfam family "Bacterial small subunit ribosomal RNA", at positions 337 to 599 of the family's 1533-position model. The record is from RNAcentral.